Molecule: long non-coding RNA, 233 nt
Organism: Bradysia coprophila
Lineage: Eukaryota; Metazoa; Arthropoda; Insecta; Diptera; Sciaridae
Source: RefSeq, a predicted model, not a curated record
UCCUAACAGAUUUCAUCAGAAAUUUCCGGAAAAAUCGAAAGAAUUAGAUUCACAUGCAAUUUCACUGCGAGAGCGGCCCUACAAAAUGGAUCAGUUUUUUCAUAAAAUUUGAGAUGGAACAUGGCCUGUUUCCUUGUGAAACAAUAGCUUAUGUUUCAGUUAUGAAAGUACAUCCCUUUCGAGGCAGAACAUUUUUCCGCUUCUGAGAUAUUGAGGCUGAGAAAUUUAAAUCA